RNAcentral lists this long non-coding RNA (441 nucleotides) under Citrus x clementina. RNAcentral describes it as "Citrus clementina (C. clementina) long non-coding RNA (CCLE_LNC005621)". The record is from RNAcentral. Lineage: Eukaryota; Viridiplantae; Streptophyta; Magnoliopsida; Sapindales; Rutaceae.
AAAAGUAAUAAAGAUAUUUAAGUAUUUUUUCCCUAGCACCAAAUGAAUAGUGUUGCACCAUAUUUGGUGCAAUACUAUUCAUAACACCAUUUUGGUGUUACAUUGGAGAAAAGCAUUUUACACUAAAAAUGGUGUAAAAGGUGAUUUGCUGUUAGAUUUAGUGCUACAUUGGAGAUACCCUUAGUGCUAGUUUUAGUGUCACAAUGGAGAUGACUUAAGAUAGGGAUGGCAAUGGGGUGGGGUGGGGUGGGGGUGGGGAGGCCUAUCCCAUUCCCCACCCCAUUAAAAAAUUUUGUCUUCAUUCCCCAAUAAAUUUAGUGGGGUGAGGAUGAGGAAUUCUCACGUGGAGAAUGAUUUUCUCAUCCCCAUCCCAUUUCCCAUUUACUUAUUUUAUAGUAAGUAUAAAUAUAUGAUUUCAGUAACUUAAAAAUUAGAAACUUA